This 733-nucleotide ribosomal RNA is filed under the name uncultured bacterium. RNAcentral describes it as "bacterial SSU rRNA". It matches the Rfam family "Bacterial small subunit ribosomal RNA", at positions 94 to 823 of the family's 1533-position model. The record is from RNAcentral.
AGUGGCGAACGGGUGAGUAAUAUAUCGGAACGUACCCUAGAGUGGGGGAUAACGUAGCGAAAGUUACGCUAAUACCGCAUACGAUCUAAGGAUGAAAGUGGGGGAUCGCAAGACCUCAUGCUCGUGGAGCGGCCGAUAUCUGAUUAGCUAGUUGGUAGGGUAAAAGCCUACCAAGGCAUCGAUCAGUAGCUGGUCUGAGAGGACGACCAGCCACACUGGAACUGAGACACGGUCCAGACUCCUACGGGAGGCAGCAGUGGGGAAUUUUGGACAAUGGGCGAAAGCCUGAUCCAGCAAUGCCGCGUGAGUGAAGAAGGCCUUCGGGUUGUAAAGCUCUUUUGUCAGGGAAGAAACGGUGAGAGCUAAUAUCUCUUGCUAAUGACGGUACCUGAAGAAUAAGCACCGGCUAACUACGUGCCAGCAGCCGCGGUAAUACGUAGGGUGCAAGCGUUAAUCGGAAUUACUGGGCGUAAAGCGUGCGCAGGCGGUUUUGUAAGUCUGAUGUGAAAUCCCCGGGCUCAACCUGGGAAUUGCAUUGGAGACUGCAAGGCUAGAAUCUGGCAGAGGGGGGUAGAAUUCCACGUGUAGCAGUGAAAUGCGUAGAUAUGUGGAGGAACACCGAUGGCGAAGGCAGCCCCCUGGGUCAAGAUUGACGCUCAUGCACGAAAGCGUGGGGAGCAAACAGGAUUAGAUACCCUGGUAGUCCACGCCCUAAACGAUGUCUACUAGUUGU